Molecule: long non-coding RNA, 159 nt
Organism: Chelonia mydas (Green sea turtle)
Lineage: Eukaryota; Metazoa; Chordata; Testudines; Cheloniidae
Exons: 3
Source: RefSeq, a predicted model, not a curated record
GCAGUGCUCCUUCCUAGGCAGUCAUUUCCCAUUUUGUAUGUGUGCAACUGAUUGUUCCUUCCUAAGUGGAGUACUUUGUCUUUAUUGAAUUUCAUCCUAUUUACUUCAGACCAUUUCACCAAUUUGCCCAGAUCAUUUAGAAUUUGAAUCCCAUCCUCU